UACUGCACAAUAUAUGUAGAGAGAUGAAAGAAGAUUUACCAAAUGAUAAUUUUGAGUUAACGGAACCACAUAACGAGACUGAAGACAUUAUUGAAGUCGAAUAUAAUGAUGAUGGUAGAGACCAAGACUCGACAAUGAGAGACAUGCUCUUAAAUAACUAUUUUGCAAGAUUAGUUACAGAUUAAUUACAGAUUUAAAAUUGGUACAGAUUAAUACCAGCAAUGAAAUUUAAUAAAAUAUGUACAUAUAUAAUUUUACAAUUUUAAAUAUAAAUAAUAAAUAUUGAAUUAAUUUUUAAUUAAAAUUCAUUUUUAUCAAGGUUCAAUAAUGUUUUUUUUUUAAUUUCUAUAUCCAAUUCCAAAGCUUUGACACGUAACUCAUGUUCAAUUUUAUCCCAUUCAAAACGCAUUGCUGUUCUCUCACUUUCCAUCUUAACCAAAUCCAACUUCGCAAGAAGAGAAAUUCACCUGCCUAUCUCUUUUUGUGUUAAUCAUUUUACAAAAUAUAGAUAACUAAUAACAGUAAAAUCCCAACGGUAAAAAAGACAAAACGGUAAAACGGUAAUGUAAACAUAAAAUAAAUGAACAUGUAAAAUUCAGAUAUUAUAAAAAAAAUAGCAUCAGUUUUCAGUGUUAUCAAAAUAUAAUAUGUUCCAUUAUCAGUUUGUUAUUGCACAACAGCUGGUUUCAAUAGCCAAUGAAAAUCGUUGUUAUGUUUGAGAUUUAUUAACUGACGGAUAGUACUAGCGGUGACAUUGUAAUAAUGGUUUAAUCUAAACUUGCCUCUAAAGUCCCCGCUACGCUAAACUGCACGCUAGCUUAACUGACAGAUAAUUAUAAUUUAGCAAGACAUUGUAAUAACGGCCCUUAGUAUACUA
Long non-coding RNA from Acyrthosiphon pisum (pea aphid), 877 nucleotides. RefSeq lists it as uncharacterized. The record is from RefSeq and is a predicted model, not a curated record. Lineage: Eukaryota; Metazoa; Arthropoda; Insecta; Hemiptera; Aphididae. The transcript has 2 exons.